UGGAAAACAGACCUGCUAUACCUUCUCAAUAGAUGAUGUCCAAAAAAUUCUCCAAAUUCAGCUAGCUAACACUCCCCAUGAUGACUUUCUGGCUUGGAGGGAUACACAGUGAGAAGUGGGUAUAAAUUGCUAUUACACGGUAACUUGAUUAAUGAUAAUAGUUAUAACCCAAUCGAAAUCAGAAAAUGCUACAGAAAACUAUGGACCAAUGACCUUCCUUCAAAAUUACUUAUUACAGUUUGGAGAGCCACUCAAAAUUACUUGCCUAUUCUAGCAAAUCUAAGAAUCAAAAGACUAACAGACGACGCAGUAUGUCCAAGAUGCAAGCAAGGACUGGAAAAUAGAGAGCAUAUAUUCUGCGACUUUGCUGUUACAAAAUAAACAUGGGAUACAUUAAAUUAUGUUUGGUCCCAGGAUUUAUCUCAAUUGGAGUUCUUGGAUUGGUUUACCUGGAUUAUGCUAACUAGUAAAACCGAUGGUCGUCGAACCUUUAUCUGCGCUAUUUGGGCUAUUUGGUCUGCUAGGAACCAAUGGAUCCAUGAAGGACAUAGGAGAUCUGGAGUAAAUACAACAAGAUUUAUAUUACAGUAUCUUUAAGAGCUGAAUAGUAUAAAGCAAAUAUCCCCUACCUCAAGAGUCAAGACUGUCUUCUGAGUAGUGGAAGCCUCCAAAGUGUGGGUUUUGCAAAAUUAAUUUUGAAGCUGCAGUGGAUAUUAAAAAUUACAGAUCCUGUUCGGGAAUAAUCAUCAGAGACUAUAACGAGGAUGUCCUGACUUCAAAAACCACAAUACACGAGAAUGUACCUUCAGGGUUUGCAGCAGAAGCCAUUGCAUGUCUUCAGGGAGUUAAAAUGGGGAAGGAUCUAGGAUUAAAUUAUGUUGAAAUUGAAGGAGACUCCCUGACGGUUAUCAAGCGAGUUAAAGGCAAAAGCAAAGACAAAUCGGUAAUCGGACCAUAUAUUCGAAACAUUAAAGAAUUGACAAGGGGUUCUUACGAGUGUAAGUUUCAACAUGUCAGACGAAUAAUAAAUGAACAUGCUCAUUUACUAGCAACACAGGGUUUAAGAAUGGCAAAUAACACUCACAUUGCCUAGAGAAGUAAUGGUCCAGAUAUUACAGCUGCUGAAGUUAAUGAAGGAUGGCGAUGAAGAAACAAAAGGACUAAAGACUAUGAGAAGAGAACCUUUAUUUUUUUAGACGUUUACUCUUCUCCAGGGGCUGUUAUAAUUGAAAAGAAGAUUUUUAGACAGAUCUAGAAAAUGAUAGCUCAUACAACUGGGUUGCCUUUCUCUUUUGUCGUUGUUCUUUUUUUU
This 1312-nucleotide long non-coding RNA is filed under the name Gossypium barbadense (sea-island cotton). Its description in RNAcentral is "long non-coding RNA (GBAR_LNC011264)". The record is from RNAcentral. Lineage: Eukaryota; Viridiplantae; Streptophyta; Magnoliopsida; Malvales; Malvaceae.